RNAcentral lists this ribosomal RNA (433 nucleotides) under uncultured bacterium. Its description in RNAcentral is "partial 16S ribosomal RNA". It matches the Rfam family "Bacterial small subunit ribosomal RNA", at positions 29 to 507 of the family's 1533-position model. The record is from RNAcentral.
AACGAACGCUGGCGGCAUGCCUAACACAUGCAAGUCGAACGAGACCUUCGGGUCUAGUGUCGCACGGGUUCGUAACGCGUGGGAACCUGCCCUUAGGUUCGGAAUAACUCCCCGAAAGGGGUGCUAAUACCGGAUAAUGUCUUCGGACCAAAGAUUUAUCGCCUUUGGAUGGUCCCGCGUUGGAUUAGCUAGUUGGUAGGGUAAAAGCCUACCAAGGCGACGAUCCAUAGCUGGUCUGAGAGGAUGAUCAGCCACACUGGGACUGAGACACGGCCCAGACUCCUACGGGAGGCAGCAGUGGGGAAUAUUGGACAAUGGGCGAAAGCCUGAUCCAGCAAUGCCGCGUGAGUGAUGAAGGCCUUAGGGUUGUAAAGCUCUUUUACCCGGGAUGAUAAUGACAGUACCGGGAGAAUAAGCUCCGGCUAACUCCGUG